Molecule: ribosomal RNA, 394 nt
Filed under: Staphylococcus aureus
Lineage: Bacteria; Bacillati; Bacillota; Bacilli; Caryophanales; Staphylococcaceae
Description: bacterial LSU rRNA
Rfam family: Bacterial large subunit ribosomal RNA
Source: RNAcentral
GACGUUACUAACGACGAUAUGCUUUGGGGAGCUGUAAGUAAGCUUUGAUCCAGAGAUUUCCGAAUGGGGAAACCCAGCAUGAGUUAUGUCAUGUUAUCGAUAUGUGAAUACAUAGCAUAUCAGAAGGCACACCCGGAGAACUGAAACAUCUUAGUACCCGGAGGAAGAGAAAGAAAAUUCGAUUCCCUUAGUAGCGGCGAGCGAAACGGGAAGAGCCCAAACCAACAAGCUUGCUUGUUGGGGUUGUAGGACACUCUAUACGGAGUUACAAAGGACGACAUUAGACGAAUCAUCUGGAAAGAUGAAUCAAAGAAGGUAAUAAUCCUGUAGUCGAAAAUGUUGUCUCUCUUGAGUGGAUCCUGAGUACGACGGAGCACGUGAAAUUCCGUCGGAA